Molecule: ribosomal RNA, 253 nt
Filed under: uncultured bacterium
Lineage: Bacteria
Description: partial 16S ribosomal RNA
Rfam family: Bacterial small subunit ribosomal RNA
Source: RNAcentral
UACGGAGGGGGCUAGCGUUGUUCGGAAUUACUGGGCGUAAAGCGCGCGUAGGCGGACCUGCAAGUCGGGGGUGAAAGCCCGAGGCUCAACCUCGGAACUGCCUUCGAUACUGCGGGUCUCGAGUCCGGGAGAGGUGAGUGGAAUUCCUAGUGUAGAGGUGAAAUUCGUAGAUAUUAGAAAGAACACCAGUGGCGAAGGCGGCUCACUGGCCCGGUACUGACGCUGAGGCGCGAAAGCGUGGGGAGCAAACAGG